Molecule: ribosomal RNA, 993 nt
Filed under: Triticum aestivum (bread wheat)
Lineage: Eukaryota; Viridiplantae; Streptophyta; Magnoliopsida; Poales; Poaceae
Description: partial small subunit ribosomal RNA
Source: RNAcentral
AUGAACUCAUUGCUGGAUCCGCCCGUCGGUGGCAAAAAGAACUUGUCACCGGAGCACGACGGUGGCGAAGAAGGCCAGCACGGCGACAGCGCUGGCGGCGGAGCAGCACAGGUCAACGAGCACCUCUCUUCGCGCCUUGCUCUCCUUCCUCCCCUUCUUGCUCUUGACGAACACCUCGUACCUCGCCUUGGCCUCCUCCCGCUCUCUCUCGCCUCCCCUCCUCCGCCCCUCCAUUGCCGCGGCGAGCAGCCGGAGGGCGCCCUCGCCGCUCACCGCCGCGCCGUCGGCGUUCUCCACAGCGAGGCUGACCUCGCUGACGUGCCCGGCCUCCUCGGAGCAGGCCACGGUGGUCUCGAAGUUGCACCCUCCCAGCACCACCGCGAACCGCACCAGCAUCUCGCCGGUGUACCAGUGCCGGCCCAGGGCCACCGCCCGCCUGCUCGACACGUUCACCGCCCGGCCGCGGGCGGGGUCGACGACCACCCAGCUCAGCUCGAACUCCGCCGGGGAGAACGCCGCCGCCACCGGCGCCGGCUUCUUGCAGUCCACGGCCUCGACGCGGAACGGCGAGCUGAGGAACCACGGCGACGACGCGGGCGUCUCCACGACGCGGUACAGCACGGGCUCGCCCCUGUAGUACACGUCCACCGCGGAGACGAGCCUCGCGGGGAGGCCGCCGGCGCCGGGCUCCCCGGCGUCCGGGCAAGGGAAAGGGGACGCGUCGGCGAAGAGGCGGCGCGGCGGCACCGCGGAGAGGAGCCAGUGCUGGGCCGCGAGGGACGGCCACUCGGCGAGGCAAAGCGCGCGCCACGUGUCCGGGUCCGCGGCGAGCGCGCGGAGCCCCGCCGUGGCGCAGCUCGCGGCGGCCAGCGAGCGGCCGUCGAGGCGGCGCAGCGCGCAGGCCAGCACGUCCGCGUGCAGGUCCUCGAUCGUAGCCACCAUGUCGUUUCGUGCGGCUCCUGGAGAAGUGGAGAUCGGCGAUGGGAACUUUGA